Molecule: ribosomal RNA, 301 nt
Filed under: uncultured bacterium
Lineage: Bacteria
Description: partial 16S ribosomal RNA
Rfam family: Bacterial small subunit ribosomal RNA
Source: RNAcentral
CAGUAGCCGCGGUAAAACGAAGGGGGCUAGCGUUGUUCGGAAUUACUGGGCGUAAAGCGCACGCAGGCGGCUCGAUAAAUUAGAAGUGAAAGCCUUGGGCUUAACCUGAGAAUUGCUUUUAAGACUGUCGAGCUAGAAUCCAGAAGAGGGUAGUGGAAUUCCGAGUGUAGAGGUGAAAUUCGUAGAUAUUCGGAAGAACACCAGUGGCGAAGGCGACUACCUGGUCUGGCAUUGACGCUCAUGUGCGAAAGCGUGGGGAGCAAACAGGAUUAGAUACCCCGGUAGUCCCUGUCUCUUAUAC